This 211-nucleotide unclassified non-coding RNA is filed under the name plant metagenome. RNAcentral's name for it is "partial contains small subunit ribosomal RNA, internal transcribed spacer 1, and 5.8S ribosomal RNA". The record is from RNAcentral.
UUUCCGUAGGUGGACCUGCGGAAGGAUCAUUACUGGGUCACCGAGCGCCUCGGCGCUCACCCCCACCCUUCGCUUCCCGCCCCACGAUCGGCGUCAGGCGGGCCCCCCUUCGGGGAGGCCCUCCGGCCGAGACGCAAACUCUAGCAACCCUUUGCAGCCUGAAGUAAAAAACAAAUAGUUAAAACUUUCAACAACGGAUCUCUUGGUUCUG